GCCUCGGUGGUCGAGCUGGUUAAGACGCCCGCUCCGGAAAAUCGGGAUGUCCCAGGUUCAAAUUCUGGCUGAGGUA
This is a non-coding RNA of Wasmannia auropunctata (little fire ant), 76 nucleotides long. The record is from the annotation of a RefSeq genome assembly. Lineage: Eukaryota; Metazoa; Arthropoda; Insecta; Hymenoptera; Formicidae.